This 445-nucleotide long non-coding RNA is filed under the name Rattus norvegicus (Norway rat). RNAcentral's name for it is "long non-coding RNA NONRATT012857". Lineage: Eukaryota; Metazoa; Chordata; Mammalia; Rodentia; Muridae. The record is from RNAcentral.
AGAGACCGCUCAGUGGUUGAGAGCACUUGUUGCUCUUGCAGAGGACUUAAUUACCAGUAAUACUGUAACUCCGGUUUCAGGGGAUUCAGUGUUCUCUUCUGAAAAAUGGUCAUACAUGCAGAAUACAUAUAUUUUUUUAAUUUGUGCACAAAUAACAGUGUGUUCCCCAGGCGUGAAUUCCAGGUCCCUCCCCUUUCUCUUGGCUUCUGUUCUAGAAGAGGGGCUUGCCUGGUUUCUGGUGUCUUAUCCAUACAGAGCAGAUCACAGCUGCUUGGCAGGCAUUGACCAUACCUGUGUGGAGAAGUACCUGCCCUAUUCUGUUGUAGACUGUCCUUUGAAGAAGAUCCCUUAACCAACCCAGUGCUUGCUCAUGCGAGGUAGAAGCCUUCUGCACUCACUUUCAUGGCUGUGAAAAAAAAAAAAGAAAAGAAAAGAAAAGAAAAAA